CACCGUCAUCCAUGAGAAGACACAGUGUUCCAUCCAGAGGAUGUAGCAUCAAGGCGUCAUCUUAAAAGCAGAGAAAAGACUCUUACUUGACACCAGAUGCCAGUGCAUUGAUCUUGGACUUCCCAGCCUCUAGAACUGUAAACAGCCCUGGGACAAAGAACAGACUACGGGUAUUGCCUUCUUAAUCAACAAUAAAGUAUUAGUUGGCUUCCAGGCAGACACCACUGACUUUCAAGAGAAAGGCACGGGAGUAAGGAAGUAAAGAAUUCAGGUGCUGCUUGAAAAUACAACAAACUGUCUUCAGAAUACUUUUAUGUGUUGUUGAAAGAAAGCACUGCAGCUAAUAUAGCUACAAAGGAGAAACAGUUAUUCUUAAAUGUCAUCUAUUUGCUGGACCUGAACAGGAAUUCACUAUGGAGCUCAUACAACUACCACCUUCAGCUAUUAAUCAAGGAGUCAUUCAACUGAGAAAGGGGAGAUUGAGAUGUUGAAUCAUUUCUCAUUCUGUGAAGUCUACCAGAAUAACCCAUAAAGCAAAUAUCAACCUAUUUCAAUUAGAAAAAUGAAAAAUACUGAUACAGCAGACGAAUUCUGGAACUAACACUUCCACAAAUCAUUGAUAAUCCAUUUUCCAACUUCUUCAAAUUCCAGACCAUCAACAAGCUAUUCAAAACAAUAAAUGUUAAUAGUUUUGGUGGAGUUAAGCAGCAGAAGUUAAAAGCAUUGUGGAAGACAGUAUGGUGAUUCCUCAAGGAUCUAGAAGCGGAAAUACCAUUUGACCCAGCAAUCCCAUUAUUGGGAUCUCUGUCGAAGUACAGAUCAGGCAUGACCUCCCAUGGGUGUUCACGGGAAAUGGUGCCACACAUGCGCAGAACUUCCCGAGCCAGCAUCCACCACAUCAAACCCACUGAAUGUACUGUUCCAUCUGGAAGUCAAGAUUGGUGCCACCUAAGUGGGUUCCUGCUGCAAGGAACUUAAGGACAUCCUCCUUCAUUUGCAGGACAUCAAGGGCUCCGGACAUUGUGAAAGUUUCCCUUUAAGUUACGACGGGAAUCCAGAACAACGCCGUAUGGACCCCUCUGCAGGUAGCAAGGAAAAGCGCCAGUAACUUUUAAAGGCUUGUUUUGCAUAUUAUUCAGGCCUAAAUCACGGUUCUCAUAAAUUGAUUAUCAUGUCCCUUUCAUCUGUCCAUUUAUGCUUCUAAAUGGUUCUUAAUGGUUCACUAUAUUUGAAGGCCAUAACCAUUUGCUGAUGAGUUACUAGUUUAAUUUGUCACUAUUUCUCCAAUACAUAUAUGUAAGUGCUUAUCGUCUUUUAAUCCUAGAUAUUCUUCUGGAAGUAAUAAUAAAAGUUGAAAGCUGGAAGGAAAAUAA
RNAcentral lists this long non-coding RNA (1373 nucleotides) under Homo sapiens (human). Its description in RNAcentral is "long intergenic non-protein coding RNA 1709". Lineage: Eukaryota; Metazoa; Chordata; Mammalia; Primates; Hominidae. The record is from RNAcentral.